RNAcentral lists this ribosomal RNA (253 nucleotides) under uncultured bacterium. Its description in RNAcentral is "partial 16S ribosomal RNA". It matches the Rfam family "Bacterial small subunit ribosomal RNA", at positions 524 to 776 of the family's 1533-position model. The record is from RNAcentral.
UACGUAGGGUGCAAGCGUUAAUCGGAAUUACUGGGCGUAAAGCGUGCGCAGGCGGUUAUGUAAGACAGGUGUGAAAUCCCCGGGCUUAACCUGGGAACUGCAUUUGUGACUGCAUCGCUGGAGUGCGGCAGAGGAGACUGGAAUUCCUGGUGUAGCAGUGAAAUGCGUAGAUAUCAGGAGGAACACCGAUGGCGAAGGCAGGUCUCUGGGCUGACACUGACGCUCAUGCACGAAAGCGUGGGGAGCAAACAGG